RNAcentral lists this ribosomal RNA (449 nucleotides) under uncultured bacterium. Its description in RNAcentral is "partial 16S ribosomal RNA". It matches the Rfam family "Bacterial small subunit ribosomal RNA", at positions 29 to 523 of the family's 1533-position model. The record is from RNAcentral.
AACGAACGCUGGCGGCAUGCCUAACACAUGCAAGUCGAACGAAGGCUUCGGCCUUAGUGGCGCACGGGUGCGUAACGCGUGGGAAUCUGCCCUUAGGUUCGGAAUAACAGCUGGAAACGGCUGCUAAUACCGGAUGAUAUCGCGAGAUCAAAGAUUUAUCGCCUGAGGAUGAGCCCGCGUUGGAUUAGGUAGUUGGUGGGGUAAAGGCCUACCAAGCCGACGAUCCAUAGCUGGUCUGAGAGGAUGAUCAGCCACACUGGGACUGAGACACGGCCCAGACUCCUACGGGAGGCAGCAGUGGGGAAUAUUGGACAAUGGGCGAAAGCCUGAUCCAGCAAUGCCGCGUGAGUGAUGAAGGCCCUAGGGUUGUAAAGCUCUUUUACCCGGGAAGAUAAUGACUGUACCGGGAGAAUAAGCCCCGGCUAACUCCGUGCCAGCAGCCGCAGUAA